GCUCGUGCACCGUAUAGUCCUCCAGCAGGUGCCGGGCGGCCCUCGAGUGCGAGAUCUCGUCGAAGGGCUUGUCCAGGCUCCUGUUCUCGUAAUGCCAGAGCGUCUUCCUGCCGCCAGGAUGGUAGUGCAGGAACUCGCGUAUGUCGUACGCCCGGUUCCGAUACUUCACCAGGAACGCGUCUUCGUCUCGUUUCUCCAUGGCGGCCGCGGUUCUCCAGGCGACGCACUCACUGUAUCCCGGAUCAGUGGCCGAUCGUUGUCAGAAGCGAAAUCGCGAUGGAACGUGCUAGCGAGUGCCUUUGAAACGGCGCUUUAACGUAGCCCGGCUUCGAAUCUGUUGAUAAGAUUUCUGCUGUGCGGCCGAGUACUAUGCGAAUGGUCGGACGGAUUGUAUCACCUUUCGCGUUAUCUACGGUGAUAAAUACGUGCCUAUACUCUGACGCCAUCCCCGAACCUAUUUCUCUCUCGUCACUUUCCUCCGAGCUCGUUCAUCGGGAAACCGUCGGGGAUCCUCCGUCCGACCGGACACUCGGGACCAUUCCCGUUCCUCUUUACGCCAUCCGGACACUGAACCUUUCCCGGCCCGCGUUCGCCGCGAAUAUUCUAUCGUGAUAGACAGCCGCGCGCCGUGUCGUACAAUGUUACGUAGCGGUGCCUCGCGGGCGACUCGCGUCGGCCGAAGAUAAGGGAAAUCGGGAUGACGAGGUGCCAGGGGACCCGGGGAACACCGUUCCGUCACCGGUUCGGAGCUCCGUAUUUGUGUUUGAUGAUCGGUACACCGGUAUUUGCCGAAGGAAGGGCCGCGCCGUUGGUCCUAACGUCCGUUCGCCAUGUUCCGUGAGCCCCGUGCCAGCCGCGCUUCACCGACGGGACAUCUAUCGCGACUGCCGAUUUAUCUCGGACCCCUUCUUCCGACGAAUGAUACGAGCAACAGGUGCUAACCGCUACCUUUGUCACCGAUAACGUCUGUUCUCCGUGUCACUUCCGCGUGUCGGACUUUCAAGGAUGCUCAUCGCGUUCGGAAAGCGUGGGACCGAUGGUUUUCGAGUAGAACCGUUGAACGAGUCCGUGACGCUAGGUUUCCUUCGUCCGAGAGCGGUGCACGUUCUUCGAAGCGGCUGGCUUCGAUCGGAAGGAUCGGUCGCCGAAAAGUCGAGGACCGAUAGCACCGCGCGCUUCGCAGCGGUAGAAUAUUCUACUGGAACACGACGGCGACGGAUGCGCUACGAAAACAAUAGCGCAACGAUUGCGUCGACGGUGUUAUUUAGACAAUUGGCGGUGCACGAGGACGCACGUGUCAGCGGCUGACCGUUGGACGCGUCUAGAGCGGGGUUCUUCGGUCGUCGAAGGAAAGGAUGAACGAAUCGAUGAGACGAGUAAUUUCCAGGUUCUCCGAUCGUCGAAGAAAAGAGAAUCGAGAAAAUAUCGAAAGAGAAAAGCGCAACGGUUUUAAUGUGAAGUUCGAGAACGCGGAAGACCGACUGAAACGCGUGAUUCGCACCGAGGGACAUGAAUGCAGACGGCACUCUUUCUCUAAAUAAGAACGAGGGAGACUGAUGUCGGCGCGGCUCGCUUCUUCGCGAGGGAGGAAGUCUAAUCUUGGCGCGGGUGCACGCGGCUCGAUUGCUUCGUGGAUAAUUACCCGCCUGGAUGUUCGUUUUGUCUAACACGUUUGCCACCGCCGUCUCUGCCAGCCGACGUUCCUCGCAAUUAACGGGCAUUCAACGAUUGCCAAGAAUCUUCCCUCGAAAGAACCCUAGCAAAAUAUGUAACAGAGCGGAGGCAUCGAUUUGUGGCGUAUCAAAACUUCAAUCCGUAAUGACAGUAAAUAACAAUAGCGCGCAACGUAACAGAGACCAUCGAUUCACGAUGAAAAUCAGACAAGCUUAUUGCUCGAGUAUCUUAAUUUAAGGAACAUUUCGAACUCGCGUUCUCUUAAUAUCGUAAAUACAACGUAGUCUCGCUAUAAUUUAGUAAUCAUUAAUAAUAUCUCUUAAACGUACACCGAUCAAUAUUCAAUCGCCGAGCGUCUUUUAUAAUAAAGUAUAUUAGCACGGGCUGGUAGCAAACGCGUUAGCCAAAAGAUCCGACAAGCGAACGAUCGAUCGGUUCUCCGGAUUGAAAAGAUAGAAAUCGUGGUUCUAAACGAACGAUCGUCGCGGAUCACGUUCAGGCCGGUCGGAAACGUUUCGUCUUAGAGUCGAGCGAACGAAUCGACGAGGCCGAGGCUCGGACACCUGUUCUCGACCGGCUCUCGAGCGACGCCGAACGUUCGCUGUUGGUCGUCUCUGAUCUUUCCCCUUCUCCCCGGUAUGUUCUAUGUUUCUUUAGUCGAUUUCUCUUCCUCUGAAUAUUUUACUCUUUUCGUUAAUUCGCCUCGCGCGGCUCUGAUCCCCGCCGCGGCGGUUUUUCGACGGAAGUUUAAAAGUAUUGCUUUCGGAGCGGAACACCGAUCGCCCCGUUCCUGGCGUGUCCGGCAACGGGCGCGCGGUGUUUCACGCGCUGUUCGAUUCUCGCCGGUCUCUCCUUGGCCCGGGAGAGCUGGAAGAGGCUGCGGACCCAGCGAGGCGACGGUCGGCUCAGAAGUCCAUCACCUCCAUCUUGAACGGCUUGCCCUGCAGCUUGUUGGGCACGAUCUUCGUGAUCGGGGGCGCGCUGUUGUUGUCGUCGUCGCUGUUUAUGUCCUCGUCCUCCUCGGGGAAGUCCUCGAGCCUGUCGUGAUACUCGUCCAGCUGGAAAACCAAGCUACAGGUCUAGGCGGAGUGUUAGAACGUUCCGGGGAACGAGGCUGAUCUAUGGCGAGUACUUUGGCAGUGAACAGAGAGCGGUGCCGGCGACGACGACCGCUCAGACGAAUCGUCUUCUUCAUUCUCAAGCGGAAAAAUGGUCUCUCGCGCGGGCGACGGCUAGUGCGAAGCACGCGCGCGCACAUAGAAGCUACAGCAUUCCGUAAUACGUAGUAUUCUACAGACUCACGUGUAAGGUAGCUACGGAAGAAGCGAUUAACCGACGUUACCGCACACCGAACGGACGGUUACCUAUAACUGCGGCUGUACUCGGGGCUGAAGGUCUUAGGCAGAUCGCUCUUACUUACUUAUUCAAGUAAAAUGCUGAUAGUUACUGAUACGAAGAGGCUUUAACAAUAGAUACUUUCUAGCCGAGUGUACAGCGAGCUUCAGCAAUCAUGACGCGAUAGUGUCUUUAUCUUGAAAAGAGAACAAUCAAGCUUAUUACACGGUUCCGUGAUAGACCACGCGAUUGCUGUAGUGGCGAUCGGUGAUGUCGAAGAAAUGGUGGAUCAUAGCAAGAACAAGGAAACAACGUGAAGAACAACGUGACACGAUUCCUCUACACAGACGGGUCGACCAGCGUACUCUGUACUCGUAGGGUCCCAUCGGUGGAUACACAGAAGCUACGAAAAUCGUCGAGGAUGGAAGCACAUCGAUGCUGGUGCGUGUACAGAUAUGUGUGCUCGAAGGCAACGAUGGAACGCGGUACCGAGCCCAGCGGAACCAUAAAUAGAAGCUCCGAUCGCUGGCCAACUUUUCAUGCGACGCAAACUUCUCUUCAAGGUUCCGUUCAAGUUCGACAGCUCGUCGCAUCGUUACGUCCAAGUGUGUACAAUGGAGUGAUCGGAGGAGCGCGUGGUUGAUGUCGGUGAAACGAGCGAAGCGGAAGUUUCAGCCUGGCUCCACUCACAUCGACGUCGCCCAUCAUUUCCUUGGUGGAGACCGUGGUGUCGAUGCGUCGUAUGCUUCCUUGAUGGAUGUCAACGUCCAGCUUGACGCACUGGAACCGCCUCAGGCAGAAAACGAUCGGUAUUGGCGCGAUGCCCGCGAAAAUGAUCACGACCGCUAUGGCCAGCACCCAGCCCGGAUAAUCGGUGGCCACCGCCAUCCCCUAAAAUAAACCACGUUUGAAGCGAUAGUCGUAAAUUCGAUGUUUCUCUAGCAGCGUCCAGGAUCGGCGAGGACGUUGAUAGCAUUUUAAGUCCCAUGUUCUUACCUGCGUGGCGUCCCACGCGGAAUACUGAGGCUUCUUGAUGAACAUGGAGGCUAUACUGGACACAAGAAUGCACACCAUGAUUAUGGGAGCUAGGAACCGCCAUGUCACCUGCCAGUACGUUCCCGUUUCUACUCGGUGGCUUUAUGGUAGAUGUUUGUAAUAGUGGACGAUACUUUUCAUGGCCGUAGAUGAAGACGACGGAAAGCAUUUCCAUGAGGGCGACCAUUACUAAACCAAUAGUGCCUGCGAAACUGUCGAACAUCUUCAGCCAGUACUCUCCGGCGCCGGUGCAGAAGAUCAAGCCGACGAAGAAGCAGACGAUACAGACAACGCCUGAGGAGGAGGACGAAGGUUUAGCGUGAAAUUUAAUUUCGUGAUGUAUGCUACAUGGAGAGCAAGUCGUACCUGUCAUGUACUGCUUCUUUAUUCUUUUGAAGAGGUCUAUGUCGAAGAUGACGCACAGCAUACCCUCCAGUAUACCGAUCUGGGAGCCCAGACCAAGAGCGAGGAGCAUCAUGAAGAAAAUGCAGGACCAAAAUGGCGCACCCGGCAGCUCGACUAUGGCCUGCGUGAACACUAUGAACGCCAGUCCUGUUCCUUCGGCGGCCUGGCGAUUCAUUCGUGGAUCAAGAGACGGAAACAAGGAUCACCGCCUGAUUAACACUAGACGCUAUCGAAUAGUCAUGCUCUGUCGUUCUCGGUUGUCAACGACCGAGGCUAGAGAAGCGUUGGAUCCUCACGUUGUCGAGCUGUUCGCUCAGGCUACACCUGCCGAGCGUUUGGUUCAGCGCGGACACGUUCAACUUAUUUACAACGUCUUCGUACUGGUCCAUGGUGAUGUUCAGGUGAGAGAUCAGUCCGUUUUCGAACAGUAUGUCUUUGUUGCUGCGAACGAAGCGAACGUAUCCGUUAACACGGCGGGGUCCGGCUGUGGUUUAGGGGGUCGGGGACCGUUAUGGUCCUCCGUUACCUGGCUAUGCACUUGUCGACGUUCGUCAUCGCCUUGAAGCCCAGUAUGGCGAAUAUCACGACGCUCGCGUAAAUCGCGGUGAACGCGUUACAAGUGCUGACCAGUAUCACGUCCCGGACGCAGUGGUUGUCCGGCGUGUUGUACGAACCGAACGCGAUCAGGCUGCCGAACGCUAGCCCGAAACUGUAAAAUACCUGCGUCGCAGCGUCGAGCCAGACCGUCGGCUCUAACAGUUUCUCGAUCUGAGGGAAACGAAUCAACGAUUCAGUGUACACCGGUCGAACCGAGGAGCUGAUACGAAUUAGAAGCGGAACUGUCGAUUACCUUUGGCGUGUACAUAUGGGCCAAUCCAGCGCUGGCACCUUUUAACGUUAUUCCACGAAUAAAAAAGAUAGUAAGCACCAAAUACGGGAACAUGGAUGUAAAAUAUACCACCUUUAAAUCAAGCAAAGAAAUAAGUCGUCGACACAGUAUCUGACUAUGGCCACGUUCACGUGGAGAAGAGUUAGUCUCAGGGAGAGGGUGUUGGCCUUUGGACGGGGGAUGGUUCAGAAAAAGCAAACGCGGGAAAAGAAAUACAGUAACGGAGAGAUAGAUAGAGAGAGAGAGAGAGAGAGAGACAGAGAGCAGAAUCCGCGUCUCUUUACCUUUCCCGACGAUUGUAUUCCCUUCAUCACGAUAAAGAAGACGAUGACCCAGCUCAACAGCAGACAGAGCACGAUCCACCACUUCAGGCUCUGACCGGCCUCGAUCGAGGGCGCCGCGUCCAGCGUUGUUCUGUACCAGAAGUAGGCGGUCUCUGAACUCUUCACGCACUCUUCGACCGGCUUACCGUCCACUUCCGGGCAUUUCGCCCAUGGCAAUGGAUCCUGCGGUGGAUUCGUUCGUGUUUCAGAUCUUUUAAUUGUCGAACGGUUAAUGCUAAGGCUCGAAGAGGAUUGUUAUAAUACUGUAAUCGAUACGACGUUGCAACUGCUCAGAAUGUGAAAGGUUUCUCGUUGCUUCUACAGUCUAUGAUCAAUGAUUACCACGAGGAAUGUUGAAAACUAGUGGCCUUGAGAGGUUUUGAGCAAGGCGAUUAGCUUCGCGAUUGACUCGUAUCUACGGUGAACAAGAGUUAGAGUGCAACGUCGUUUCUUCGUGAGAUCGUUCGGAGAAUCCGUAAAUAGUAUUUAUUAACAAUCUCGGAUGGAUUCGGGAUGUCCCGGAACAAGCAUUCCGCCGUUGGCUUAUUUCCAAUCAACGUCACGCGUUCGACGGUUUCACGAGUUUCGAGCACACGACUCUUUCCGGGACAUCCGGCCAUGGCAUUCCCAACUGAAACAUGCUUCGCAGAAUUGUCUGCGUCGUACAAACUCUACGUGACAUGCGGUCGCAUGCGGAUAACGAGCUGCGUAGCAUAUGUAAUCGUGCGGGCAACUUACGCCGAAUUUAAUCGUGACGGCCUAAUCCAACGGGCAGCGUGAAACACAAAUCGUAUAUGUUAGUCGCACGCUCGUCGUUCGGUGUCUCUGGAUCUGAUCUUUUAUUCGACGGAAUAAUGCGGUCGGAUCGAUCGGGUGUUAAAAGGAAAGAUAUACGAUGUGAGAAAUGACACGGGGUAUGGGUAAAGUAAGGUGUACAACUAACAAAAUGUCGAAUUGACAAGGUAUUAAUGUAACAAAGUAGAGAAUUAAUGGAACAUUAAGGUGACAAAGGGACGAAUGAAUAAAACAUCGAAAUAACAGAAUGAAACGGUGAAACGAACAGCUCGGAGCAACGAUAUUCACCUCGAGCGAGUUGAACAGGUAAUAGAAGCACCAAGUGAUGAUCACGUUGUAAUAGAGCGCUACGAAGAAGGUGACGAUACACGAGGCGAUCCCUAUGCCGCCCAGCCAAGGGUGUAUCGUGUUCCAGACGCCGAGGGCACCCUGACGCAUACGUUGACCGAGACCCAGCUCGAUCAGAAAUAGGGGCACGCCCUCCAGGAUUAGCAUCACGAAAAAAGGGAUAAGAAAGGCACCUG
Molecule: non-coding RNA, 6980 nt
Organism: Nomia melanderi (Alkali bee)
Lineage: Eukaryota; Metazoa; Arthropoda; Insecta; Hymenoptera; Halictidae
Source: RefSeq, a predicted model, not a curated record